AUUCCAGCUCCAAUAGCGUAUAUUAAAGUUGUUGCAGUUAAAAAGCUCGUAGUUGGAUUUCUGGUGGGAGCGGCAGGUCGGGCUCGCAAGGGCCAUGUACUUAAGUCUGUCUCCGGCCAUCCUUGGGGAGAGCGAUUCUGGCAUUAAGUUGUCGGGGUCGGGAUCCUCAUCUUUUACUGUGAAAAAAUUAGAGUGUUCAAAGCAGGCCUCGGCCUCUGAAUACAUUAGCAUGGAAUAAUAAGAUAGGACUUUGGUGGUCUAUUUUGUUGGUUUGCACGCCAAAGUAAUGAUUAAUAGGGAUAGUUGGGGGUAUUCGUAUUCAAUUGUCAGAGGUGAAAUUCUUGGAUUUAUGGAAGACGAACUACUGCGAAAGCAUUUACCAAGGAUGUUUUCAUCG
This 397-nucleotide ribosomal RNA is filed under the name Stramenopiles sp. MOCH-3. RNAcentral describes it as "partial small subunit ribosomal RNA". It matches the Rfam family "Eukaryotic small subunit ribosomal RNA", at positions 582 to 975 of the family's 1831-position model. The record is from RNAcentral.